GUCCUUUAGAAAUGGAUUUAAGGUUGGACCUGCUCCCUGCCAUAUUGUAAAUAGCUGCAGUAUUAAUGACUGUACUAAGGUAGCAUAAUAAUUUGUCUUUUAAAUGAAGACUGGAAUGAACGGUUUGACGAGGAUUCAUCUGUCUCGAUUAUAACAAUUGAAUUUAGAAAGAUGGUGAAAAUCCCUUCGUGAAAGAGGGGGACGACAAGACCCUUUAGAUCUAAAAAAAGGAGAAAUAAGUAAAGUGCUAAUUGUUAUAUUUCUUUCUUGUAUUUGUUUGGGAAGAACCUUAAUGAAAACUUUAGAUUGGAAAAAGAUGAAUGAAUCAAAAAAAAAAUGGAUUAGAAAAGGAUCUAAGAUUAGAAACUUAGUUACCUAAGGGAUAACAGCGUUAUGUGGUACUGUAGACCUCAUAUUUUACCACGUUUGCGACCUCGAUGUUGAAUUAGGUUAAAAUAUUAAUGAAGAAGAUAAUUAUUUUUAGUCUGUUCGACUAUUAAAAACCU
RNAcentral lists this ribosomal RNA (506 nucleotides) under Carduiceps zonarius. RNAcentral's name for it is "partial 16S ribosomal RNA". It matches the Rfam family "Bacterial large subunit ribosomal RNA", at positions 1829 to 2597 of the family's 2925-position model. The record is from RNAcentral. Lineage: Eukaryota; Metazoa; Arthropoda; Insecta; Psocodea; Philopteridae.